This 549-nucleotide ribosomal RNA is filed under the name Yarrowia lipolytica. RNAcentral's name for it is "eukaryotic LSU rRNA". It matches the Rfam family "Eukaryotic large subunit ribosomal RNA", at positions 72 to 706 of the family's 3401-position model. The record is from RNAcentral. Lineage: Eukaryota; Fungi; Ascomycota; Dipodascomycetes; Dipodascales.
GGAUUGCCUCAGUAACGGCGAGUGAAGCGGCAAAAGCUCAAAUUUGAAACCCUCGGGAUUGUAAUUUGAAGAUUUGGCAUUGGAGAAAGCUAACCCAAGUUGCUUGGAAUAGUACGUCAUAGAGGGUGACAACCCCGUCUGGCUAACCGUUCUCCAUGUAUUGCCUUAUCAAAGAGUCGAGUUGUUUGGGAAUGCAGCUCAAAGUGGGUGGUAAACUCCAUCUAAAGCUAAAUACUGGUGAGAGACCGAUAGCGAACAAGUACUGUGAAGGAAAGGUGAAAAGAACUUUGAAAAGAGAGUGAAAUAGUAUGUGAAAUUGUUGAUAGGGAAGGAAAUGAGUGGAGAGUGGCCGAGGUUUCAGCCGCCCCUCGUGGGCGGUGUACUGCCGACGCCGAGUCAUCGAUAGCGAGACGAGGGUUACAAAUGGGAGCGCCUUCGGGCGUUCUCCCCUAACCCUCCACACUGCCACCGACGACAUAAUCCACCCAUUUCACCCGUCUUGACCAACGGACCCAAAACUGCGUCUUUGACUAGGAUGCUGGCGUAAUG